GGUGGCUCAGUGGUAGAGUGCUUGCCCUGCAUGCAUGAGUCCCUGGGUUCGAUUCCUGGGCACCA
Non-coding RNA from Dipodomys ordii (Ord's kangaroo rat), 65 nucleotides. Lineage: Eukaryota; Metazoa; Chordata; Mammalia; Rodentia; Heteromyidae. The record is from Rfam.